GCCGAGAUGUUGGAACUGGUAGACAAUAGGGAUUUAAAAUCCCUUGUCCGUAAGGGCGUGAGGGUUCGACUCCCUCUCUCGGCA
Molecule: transfer RNA, 84 nt
Filed under: Candidatus Omnitrophota bacterium
Lineage: Bacteria; Pseudomonadati; Candidatus Omnitrophota
Description: Candidatus Omnitrophica bacterium tRNA-Leu
Rfam family: tRNA
About the family: Transfer RNA (tRNA) molecules are approximately 80 nucleotides in length.
Source: RNAcentral